This 1553-nucleotide ribosomal RNA is filed under the name marine metagenome. RNAcentral's name for it is "bacterial LSU rRNA". It matches the Rfam family "Bacterial large subunit ribosomal RNA", at positions 915 to 2561 of the family's 2925-position model. The record is from RNAcentral.
AGGGCUAGGGGGCAUACCCGCCUACCAACCCCUAUCAAACUCCGAAUACCAUUCAAUAGAGCGCAGCAGUGAGACGGCGGGGGAUAAGCUUCGUCGUCGAGAGGGAAACAGCCCAGAUCAGCAGCUAAGGUGCCUAAAUUGUGCUCAGUGGAAAGGAGGUGAGGUUUCAUAGACAGUGAGGAUGUUGGCUUAGAAGCAGCCACCAUUUAAAAAAUGCGUAAUAGCUUACUCAUCGAGAGACCUUGCGCCGAAAAUACUUGGCGAUAAGCACAAUACCGAAGCUCUGGGUGUCCUAGUUUACUAGGGCGCGGUAGAGGAGCAUUCUCUGUGCAGUGAAGGGUGAUGGCGACUGACCCUGGAGCGCAGAGAAGUGAGAAUGCAGACAUGAGUAACGAUAAGAGCAGUGAAAUCCUGCUCCGCCGUAAAUCCAAGGUUUCCCGGGCAACGUUUUUCGUCCCGGGGUUAGUCGGGACCUAACCCGAGGCCGAUGGGCGUAGGGGAUGGUAAGCAGGUUAAUAUUCCUGCACCCAGUAAGGAGGACGCAUAAUGAAAAGCUACUAUCUUAAUGAAUUGGGAGGCGAGGCUCAGGCCGGACCGCAUAGCUAGACAGAGUGCCAAGAAAAGCCCUUACAUUAAUGGCCCGUACCGUAAACCGACACAGGUGGAUGGGUAGAAUAUACCAAGGCGCAAGAGUGAAACCUGGUCAAGGAACUCGGCAAAAUAGCCCCGUAACUUCGGAAGAAGGGGUGCCCCCUCUGGGGGGCCGCAGUGAAAUGGCCCAACCGACUGUUUAGCAAAAACACAGCAUUGUGCUAAGGCGUAAGCCGACGUAUACGAUGUGACACGUGACCAAUGCCAAAAGAUUACGGUAAGAUGUUAGCACUUUAGUGCGAAGCUUCGAGCCCAAGUCCUGGUGAAUGUCGGCCGUAACUAUAACGGUCCUAAGGUAGCGAAAUUCCUUGUCGGGUAAGUUCCGACCUGCACGAAUCGUGCAACGAGUUGGGCGCUGUCUCGACCAGGUGCUCAGUGAAAUUGUAGUUCCGGUGAAGAUGCCGGACACCCGCAGAAGGACGGAAAGACCCUAUAGACCUUAACUGUAAGCUGUUAUUGGUUGUUCGAUCUUAAUGCUCAGCAUAAGUGGGAGACAUUGAAGGGUGCGUUUAGGCGCAUCUGGAGUCAUCAGUGAGAUACCACCCUUUAAUAUUGGAUAAUCUAACCCCGAGCCGUCACCCGGCCGUGGGGACAAUGGCAGCCGGUCAGUUUUACUGGGGCGGUAUCCUCCUAAAGAGUAACGGAGGAGCGCGAAGGUGGGCUCAGCACAGUUGGCAACUGUGUGUUGAGUGUAAAGGCACAAGCCCGCCUAACUGUGAGACCUACAAGUCGAGCAGAUACGAAAGUAGGCCUUAGUGAUCCGGCGGUAGAAUGUGGAAUUGCCGUCGCUCAACGGAUAAAAGGUACCUUAGGGAUAACAGGCUUAUCACGCCCAAGAGUUCAUAUCGACGGCGUGGUUUGGCACCUCGAUGUCGGCUCGUCGCAUCCUGGGGCUGGAGAAG